CAGUCUGCAACUCGACUGCAUGAAGCUGGAAUCGCUAGUAAUCGCGAAUCAGCAUGUCGCGGUGAAUACGUUCCCGGGUCUUGUACACACCGCCCGUCACACCAUGGGAGCCGGAAAUGCCCGAAGUCAGUGGCUUAACCGAAAGGGGAGAGCUGCCGAAGGCAGGUCUGGUAACUGGGGUGAAGUCGUAACAAGGUAAC
RNAcentral lists this ribosomal RNA (200 nucleotides) under uncultured bacterium. RNAcentral's name for it is "partial 16S ribosomal RNA". It matches the Rfam family "Bacterial small subunit ribosomal RNA", at positions 1301 to 1500 of the family's 1533-position model. The record is from RNAcentral.